GAUGAACGCUGGCGGCGUGCUUAACACAUGCAAGUCGAACGAUGAAGCCCAGCUUGCUGGGUGGAUUAGUGGCGAACGGGUGAGUAACACGUGAGUAACCUGCCCUUAACUCUGGGAUAAGCCUGGGAAACUGGGUCUAAUACCGGAUAGGAGCGUCCACCGCAUGGUGGGUGUUUGAGAGCUUUAUCGGUUUUGGAUGGACUCGCGGCCUAUCAGCUUGUUGGUGAGGGAAUGGCUCACCAAGGGGACGACGGGUAGCCGGCCUGAGAGGGUGACCGGCCACAAUGGGACUGAGAGACGGACCAGACGCCAACGGGAGGCAGCAGUGGGGAAUAUUGUACAAUGGGCGAAAGCCUGAUGCAGCGACGCCGCGUGAGGGAUGACGGCCUUCGGGGUGUAAAGCUCUUUCAGUAGGGAAGAAGCGAAAGUGACGGUACCUGCAGAAGAAGCACCGGCUAACUACGUG
Molecule: ribosomal RNA, 466 nt
Filed under: uncultured bacterium
Lineage: Bacteria
Description: partial 16S ribosomal RNA
Rfam family: Bacterial small subunit ribosomal RNA
Source: RNAcentral